Molecule: transfer RNA, 73 nt
Filed under: Mesocricetus auratus (golden hamster)
Lineage: Eukaryota; Metazoa; Chordata; Mammalia; Rodentia; Cricetidae
Rfam family: tRNA
About the family: Transfer RNA (tRNA) molecules are approximately 80 nucleotides in length. Their secondary structure includes four short double-helical elements and three loops (D, anti-codon, and T loops).
Source: Rfam by way of RNAcentral
UCCUGGCUAGCUCAGUCAGUAGAGCAUGAGAUUCUUAAUCCCAGUGUCAUGGGUUUGUGCCCCAUGUUGGGUG